RNAcentral lists this ribosomal RNA (488 nucleotides) under Enterobacter cloacae. Its description in RNAcentral is "bacterial SSU rRNA". It matches the Rfam family "Bacterial small subunit ribosomal RNA", at positions 887 to 1375 of the family's 1533-position model. Lineage: Bacteria; Pseudomonadati; Pseudomonadota; Gammaproteobacteria; Enterobacterales; Enterobacteriaceae. The record is from RNAcentral.
CGCAAGGUUAAAACUCAAAUGAAUUGACGGGGGCCCGCACAAGCGGUGGAGCAUGUGGUUUAAUUCGAUGCAACGCGAAGAACCUUACCUACUCUUGACAUCCAGAGAACUUAGCAGAGAUGCUUUGGUGCCUUCGGGAACUCUGAGACAGGUGCUGCAUGGCUGUCGUCAGCUCGUGUUGUGAAAUGUUGGGUUAAGUCCCGCAACGAGCGCAACCCUUAUCCUUUGUUGCCAGCGGUUAGGCCGGGAACUCAAAGGAGACUGCCAGUGAUAAACUGGAGGAAGGUGGGGAUGACGUCAAGUCAUCAUGGCCCUUACGAGCAGGGCUACACACGUGCUACAAUGGCGCAUACAAAGAGAAGCGACCUCGCGAGAGCAAGCGGACCUCAUAAAGUGCGUCGUAGUCCGGAUUGGAGUCUGCAACUCGACUCCAUGAAGUCGGAAUCGCUAGUAAUCGUGGAUCAGAAUGCCACGGUGAAUACGUUCCC